Long non-coding RNA from Melospiza melodia melodia, 2725 nucleotides. RefSeq lists it as uncharacterized. The record is from RefSeq and is a predicted model, not a curated record. NCBI's taxonomy places the organism in Eukaryota, Metazoa, Chordata, Aves, Passeriformes, Passerellidae. The transcript has 2 exons.
UUCAGGCUCCUGGGACACCUCGGGAGGGUGGCAGGGACAGGGGAGGGACACGAGCAGAUCCUCCUCCCUGAGCACAGGGUUUUGCAGAGGGUUUUGCAACAGCCCCAGAAGUGCCCGGGGAGCAGCAACUGCCGGGGAAGGCUCUGCAGGAAUCCAGGCCAGGACUAAAGCCGGGUUUAACCCAGCCCAUCCAGGCCAGGAUUAAAGCUGGGUUUAACGCCUGGCACCUCCAGCAGAGGAUGCAGCGCUGACUCUGAGAGGCACCGGAGCCCCAGGAGAACAACUUGUCUCCAAUUCUGGAACUCAGUUUCUAACGGAGCUGCACAAUGACAACAUUCACUUGCUGCCAGCAACUGCUCUGAGCUGUCCUUCUUCAGCACGAGCCUUCUGCUCACAGAUCCUCUACACUCAACUUGGUAAUUUUUGAAGUUUUAUUGGCCAGGUUUUCACUGAACAACCCAAAAGCUGUAAAAAGUGCAGCUCAGGGGCUGUGCAGAGAUAACCCCUCGCUCCAGGAGCCAACACUGAGCAUUUCAAACUCCUGCUUUUGUGCCACAAAGAGCUGAAGGAGGUGGGGCUCAGCUCCUUCCUUGACAGACUGCCCUGGAUUUGGGAUUUAGGGCUGUUGGCACAGAAAUAAAAAGAUAAAGGCACCAGCAUGCCCUUCAUCUUUAGCAGCAGCACAGGAAAGCAGGCAGGAAGUUGUGCUCACUCCCCAAAAUAUCCCAAUUUAUAAAUUCAGCCCACAAGACAAAAAUAGCUUCAGCAGCAGGUAUUGUUUAAUUCAGGAGUGCUCUGAAAUAAAGCAGUGACCCCACAGAAUCCUUACUGUCAAGGAGAAAAACCCCAGACUGAGCUGCCAAAACCCAAAGACUGAAACAUUUUGUGUAAAAUGUGCCCAAAAAGCAGCCUGGGGUUUGCUGCUCUGAUCAAAGCAGUACUCAGGGCUCAGCAAAUGUUCCAAGGCUCUCCCUGCAUUCACUGGAGGGUUUUCUUCACACACUGAACAUUUCCAUGGUUUUAGGGAACAGACAGGCACCAAAUGAGCAGGAAGGUGUUUCACACAGGCACAAAGGGCUAUCCCACCUCUCCAUCCCCAGGGAAAUGAGGUGCCUUCAGAGCUCUGGGCAAUUCUGAACCAGGAGAAGUCACCAGCCAGGCCUUCCUUUGUCUCCUUGGCCCAACCUGAUCAAUAAAUGUUAUUCAAAUCCAGGGCAGCAGUGCCCUGUGUGCAGCACUCAGUCCCUCCAAUGCCCCAAAAAUCAGCAAAAUCCUCUGAAGGAGGUGAGGUGGGCUGAGUGAGAAGUCUUUGUGUCAGUGCUGCUGUGGGUAAUUAGCACCAAGUCUUUAAUUACUGAAUCCCAGACUGGUUUGGGUUGGAAGCACCUUAAAGCUCAUCCAGUUCUACCCCUCCCACUGCCCCAGGGUGGCACUCCCUAAGGACACUGUGGUGGCUGUCACAGAGCUGCUCUGUGUGUCCCCUUCCAGCUGUCCCUGUCUGCCCUGGCAGGAGCUCUGAGUGUGCAGGGAAAGGAGGGGAGCAGGGAUGAUCAGAGGCAGGUGCUUUGUGUCCUGGAUUGCCAAGCAAAUUUUAUUCUAUUUGCCAUCUUGGCAUUUGUGUUCUGUUCAGUGGGCAGUUUUCCUUUUUGUUGGAACUCAGGAAAUUCCUCUGGCUGCCCUGGAGAACUUGAACCCCUGCUCAGGGGGCUCAGAGACCUUGGCACAGAGCCCCAGACCCCUGUGCCUUUGAUUUUAGCCCUUGGAAAAAAACAAUUACCAACCUUGUAUGAAGAAUGACAAGCCACGAAAGUUUAAGAGAAUGAUAGUGAAUUUAUCAUGGGGUGAAAAAUAGGUUUUUGAGGUUUUUAGAAUGGGGUUCAGGGGGCAAGAUGGAGGAAUGUAGGCAUGUCCAGCCUUUCUCCUUCUUCUUCUUGGCCUCCAUCUUCUGCUGUGAUGGUGGCACUCACAGAUUGGUUUAGAGUAGAAGCUCACUGUCUAACACAGGUGAUGGGUAUUGGAAAGUAUCUGUAAACAUUGUACAUGUAGUUUUUAGUAUAAAGCCAUAACACUGCCCUGGGGCAGGCAGAGUGCCUGGAACUGUCCUGCUGGACAGACCUCAGCAGGGCAGGAGAAAGAAUUUUAUAGAUAAGAUACAAUAAACAACCUUGACACAUCGAAAUUAAGAUCCCUGACUCCUUCUUUGAGUGCCAGGCUGGGAAAAGAGACUUUCGAACUCUUCUCAGGGUCACUGUGAGCAGCAGAGACCCCAAGACCUUAUCUCUUCCACACCCCCUCCUCCCUCAGGGGAGACACCUGCUGAUAACAGCUAUUGAAUGUCCCUGCAUGGCUGAUAAGAACUACAGCAUCCCAUUGGGAGAUGGGAGCCCAGAGGGAGGAGCCAAGCAUUGCUACCCAGAUAUAAUCCAGAGGUUUUGAGACACCAGCACGGCUUCUCCACUGGAUUCCCCAGAGGAACAGCAGCUGCCUCUCCUUCCACUGGAUCUUCAGAGGAAGAAUCCAUCCUUCUCUACAGGAUCCUGCUCCAGCAGAACCACCCCUGACACUGCAGGAGGGCUGAGCCACAAUUCCAAUGGGACUGCUGCCAGCACCCUGACCCACAGGGUGUCAGGCUGGGUUCUGACUCUGUCAGUGUUGGUUUAGUUUACUGCAUUGUUUAUGUUUUUAUUUUCUUUCCUAUUAAAGAACUGUUAUUCUUGCUCCCAUA